This 555-nucleotide long non-coding RNA is filed under the name Marmota monax (woodchuck). Lineage: Eukaryota; Metazoa; Chordata; Mammalia; Rodentia; Sciuridae. The record is from RNAcentral.
CACGCCCCACCGGAUAGAGAACAAGGGUUUUGGAUUACUUCCCCCAACAUCUCCCCCUUUCAAUGUGAAGCAGUUUGGAGAUGUCAUUGCCCAUUUUUCUGUAGAAACGGAUAGUGGGGAAAUGUAAUGGUAGUCCACUUUAUGCUUUGAAUAUUCCCCUUGCUGCCCUGCCAGUGCAAAUUGUUAUUUUUUAAAAUAUUUUUUAGACGUUGAUGGAGCUUUAUUUUUAUUUUAUUCAUUUAUAUGUGGUGCUGAGAGUUGAACCCAGUGCCUCACACUUGCUAUGCAAGUGCUGUACCACUGAGCCACAACCCCAGCCUGCAAAUUAUUUUUAAAAUGGACAUUUCUUUCUCUUCUUCUCUCCCUGAUCCUCCUUAAUCUCUCCAGCCUUGCCUAAUCUCAAGGGAAACAGGAUUACCUUUCUUCCCCAUCCUAGGCAGUUAUCUGUCCCUGAGUACACACCUACCAUAGGAAGGAAGUAAUCCAGACUUUGGGGAUGGUACCAGAAAAUCUCAGAAAUGACUGUCUCCCAGAUUAACAAGUUAGUGAAUUACA